This 510-nucleotide ribosomal RNA is filed under the name uncultured bacterium. Its description in RNAcentral is "partial 16S ribosomal RNA". It matches the Rfam family "Bacterial small subunit ribosomal RNA", at positions 28 to 507 of the family's 1533-position model. The record is from RNAcentral.
GACGAACGCUGGCGGCGUGCUUAACACAUGCAAGUCGAACGAAGAGCGAUGGAAGCUUGCUUCUAUCAAUCUUCGUGGCGAACGGGUGAGUAACGCGUAAUCAACCUGCCCUUCAGAGGGGGACAACAGUUGGAAACGACUGCUAAUACCGCAUACGAUCUGACCUCGGCAUCGAGGAUAGAUGAAAGGUGGCCUCUAUUUAUAAGCUAUCACUGAAGGAGGGGAUUGCGUCUGAUUAGCUAGUUGGAGGGGUAACGGCCCAACAAGGCGAUGAUCAGUAGCCGGGUGGAGAGGAGGAACGGCCACAAUGGGACUGAGACACGGCCCAGACUCCUACGGGAGGCAGCAGGGGGGAAUCUUCCGCAAUGGACGAAAGUCUGACGGAGCAACGCCGCGGGAGUGAUGACAGCCUUCGGGUUGUAAAGCUCUGUUAAUCGGGACGAAAGGCCUUCUUGCGAAUAGUUAGAAGGAUUGACGGUACCGAAAGAGAAAGCCACGGCUAACUACGUG